This 22-nucleotide microRNA is filed under the name Capra hircus (goat). RNAcentral describes it as "chi-miR-877-3p". Its record names the gene chi-miR-877-3p. The record is from miRBase by way of RNAcentral. Lineage: Eukaryota; Metazoa; Chordata; Mammalia; Artiodactyla; Bovidae.
UCCUCUUCUCCCUCCUCCCAGG